RNAcentral lists this ribosomal RNA (481 nucleotides) under bacterium S1cc45. RNAcentral describes it as "bacterial SSU rRNA". It matches the Rfam family "Bacterial small subunit ribosomal RNA", at positions 983 to 1461 of the family's 1533-position model. The record is from RNAcentral.
GACAUCCCACGGAAGCUUGNGGAGACCCCGAGUGUGCCUUCGGGAACCGUGAGACAGGUGCUGCAUGGCUGUCGUCAGCUCGUGUUGUGAAAUGUUGGGUUAAGUCCCGCAACGAGCGCAACCCUUGUCCUUAGUUGCCAGCACGUAAUGGUGGGAACUCUAGGGAGACUGCCGGUGAUAAACCGGAGGAAGGUGGGGACGACGUCAAGUCAUCAUGGCCCUUACGAGAUGGGCUACACACGUGCUACAAUGGUCAGUACAAAGGGUUGCCAACUAGCGAUAGUGAGCCAAUCCCAUAAAGCUGGUCGUAGUCCGGAUUGGAGUCUGCAACUCGACUCCAUGAAGUCGGAAUCGCUAGUAAUCGUAGAUCAGAAUGCUACGGUGAAUACGUUCCCGGGCCUUGUACACACCGCCCGUCACACCAUGGGAGUGGGUUGCUCCAGAAGUAGAUAGCUUAACCUUCGGGAGGGCGUUUACCACG